CCACUUCCUUUCCCUGUGUCCUUCCCCCAAAAACCUCAUAGCUUUCUCUCUCUCUCUCUCAAACUCUCCCAGUUCACUCUCAUUUCUCUCCCUUCUUCCUCGGCAAGUAUCGAGAUGGUGCAAUGGCAUGCCCCACUUGAAACCACCACAUCCAUGACAAGACACCCAACUUACCACCGCAUGUUGACUCUAUCUCGUCCCUCUCAACCUUGCAACAUCACCACCACGGUAGAGCCUCCAUCUUCGGCGAGUUCCUUGACUUCUUGACACGAGGCUAGGGGAUACUUCCCCAGAUUCCAGCGAGAACCCGAGACUUGCAGGUCAUUUUUCGGCCAACUCUUAACAUGACUGGCCACAUGAGAGGUGCGUUGUUAGUGGCGUUUCCGUCUUCUCUAGCUGCACGGCUCUUCGAUGACAAAGUAUAUGACUUAAAUCAAGGCGUAAAAUCCCGGAGUCAAGGCAUUCCCACAUCAGUAUCUUCAAGUCCUCUCGGCGUAGGACCCAUUCCUUUAUUUGCAUAGUCUUAUAAUAUUCCUUUUACAAUGUUCUGAAUUAAUUGUAAUCUCUGAACAUAUUCCACAAUUGCAUAUUCAUUAUAGUUAAAUUUACGAGUUUCAUUUGUGUU
Pyrus x bretschneideri (Chinese white pear) is the source of this 625-nucleotide long non-coding RNA. RefSeq lists it as uncharacterized. The transcript has 4 exons. NCBI's taxonomy places the organism in Eukaryota, Viridiplantae, Streptophyta, Magnoliopsida, Rosales, Rosaceae. The record is from RefSeq and is a predicted model, not a curated record.